This 878-nucleotide ribosomal RNA is filed under the name uncultured bacterium. RNAcentral describes it as "bacterial SSU rRNA". It matches the Rfam family "Bacterial small subunit ribosomal RNA", at positions 1 to 874 of the family's 1533-position model. The record is from RNAcentral.
UAGAGCUUGCUCCAGAGUUUGAAUCGUGGCUCAGGAUGAACGCUAGCGGCAGGCCUAACACAUGCAAGUCGAGGGGUAGAGAGAUCUUGCUUUUUUGAGACCGGCGGAUGGGUGAGUAACGCGUAUGCAACCUACCUUUUACAGGGGAAUAGCCCGGAGAAAUUCGGAUUAAUGCUCCAUGGUUUAUAGAUGAGGCAUCUCAUUUAUAAUAAAGAUUUAUCGGUAAAAGAUGGGCAUGCGUAUCAUUAGCUAGUUGGUGUGGUAACGGCAUCCCAAGGCAACGAUGAUUAGGGGUCCUGAGAGGGAGAUCCCCCACACUGGUCCUGAGACACGGUCCAGACUCCUACGGGAGGCAGCAGUGAGGAAUAUUGGUCAAUGGAGGCAUCUCUGAACCACCCAUGCCGCGUGCAGGAUGACGGUCCUAUGGAUUGUAAACUGCUUUUGUACGGGAAGAAAUGUAAUUACGUGUAAUUAUUUGACGGUACCGUAAGAAUAAGGAUCGGCUAACUCCGUCCCAGCACCCGCGGUAAUACGGAGGAUCCGAGCGUUAUCCGGAAUUAUUGGGUUUAAAGGGUUCGUAGGCGGUUUAGUAAGUCAGUGGUGAAAUCUUACAGCUUAACUGUAAAAUUGCCGUUGAUACUGCUAGACUUGAAUAGUAUGGAAGUAAUUAGAAUAUGUAGUGUAGCGGUGAAAUGCUUAGAUAUUACAUGGAAUACCAAUUGCGAAGGCAGAUUACUACGUACUUAUUGACGCUGAUGAACGAAAGCGUGGGUAGCGCACAGGAUUAGAUACCCUGGUAGUCCACGCCGUAAACGAUGGAUACUAGCUGUUCGGUUUUCGGCCUGAGUGGCUAAGCGAAAGUGAUAAGUUUCCCCGCU